RNAcentral lists this transfer RNA (91 nucleotides) under Arthrospira sp. PCC 9108. RNAcentral's name for it is "tRNA-Ser". It matches the Rfam family "tRNA". From Rfam's summary of the family: Transfer RNA (tRNA) molecules are approximately 80 nucleotides in length. Their secondary structure includes four short double-helical elements and three loops (D, anti-codon, and T loops). Lineage: Bacteria; Bacillati; Cyanobacteriota; Cyanophyceae; Oscillatoriales; Microcoleaceae. The record is from RNAcentral.
GGAGAGGUGGCUGAGUGGUCGAAAGCGGCAGAUUGCUAAUCUGUUGAGGGGUGUUCAGCCUCUCCGAGGGUUCUGAAUCCCUCCCUCUCCG